Misgurnus anguillicaudatus (oriental weatherfish) is the source of this 701-nucleotide non-coding RNA. The record is from RefSeq and is a predicted model, not a curated record. NCBI's taxonomy places the organism in Eukaryota, Metazoa, Chordata, Actinopteri, Cypriniformes, Cobitidae.
GAAGUACAGAAUCGUUUCUUGUGGCAUUAAUGGAAUGUGUAUUCAAAUGUUGCCUGUGCACAGUACAAAAUCAAGUAAAACUGUAUAUGAUUUGUUUUAUAUACCCCUUAUUUAUCAGAUGCCUGUCCUAAAAUUCCAGCCUUUCCCACCCCACCAAUGAAAAUAUCAAAGAAUGGUUCGCCCAGGUCUGUUGGCCGUGACAGGUCAACUAGUGGUACAUGUAGGUCUAUGGGCCAUGACAGGCCAUCUAGUCGUACAUCUAGGUCUGUGGGCCGUGACAGGUCAACUAGUCGUGAGUAUCUUUCAUAGCAAAAUAUUGCAGCCAGGUCACUAGGAGUAUUGUUCAUGACUGACUGAUGUUUCUGAAUCUGCGUCGCUUAGGUACAUCUAGGUCUGUGGGCCGUGACAGGUCAACUAGUCGUGAGUAUCUUUCAUAGCAAAAUAUUGCAGCCAGGUCACUAGGAGUAUUGUUCAUGACUGACUGAUGUUUCUGAAUCUGCGUCGCUUAGGUACAUCUAGGUCUGUGGGCCGUGACAGGUCAACUAGUCGUGAGUAUCUUUCAUAGCAAAAUAUUGCAGCCCAGGGCCCCAGGCAGGUCAGUAUUGUUCAUGACUGACUGAUGUUUCUAAAUCUGCGUCGCUUAGGUACAUCUAGGUCUGUGGGCCGUGACAAGUCAACUUGUGGUGAGUUUAACUUUUCAA